GCUUGUCUCAAAGAUUAAGCCAUGCAUGUCUAAGUAUAAACAACUUUAUACUGUGAAACUGCGUACAGCUCAUUAUAUCAGUUAUAAUUUAUUUGAUGGUGAUUUACUACAUGGAUAACCGUGGUAAUUCUAGAGCUAAUACAUGCGCCCAGACCCAACUUUUAGGAAGGGUUGUAUUUAUUAGGUACAGAACCAAUGCAAGCUCCGCUUGACCUUUUGGUGAUUCAUGGUAACCGAACGAAUCGCACGGCACCAGCUGGCGAUGGACCAUUUCAGUUUCUGACCUAUCAGCUUCCGACGGUAGGAUAUGGGCCUACCGUGGCAAUGACGGGUAACGGAGAAUUAGGGUUCGAUUCCGGAGAGGGAGCCUGAGAAACGGCUACCACAUCUAAGGAAGGCAGCAGG
RNAcentral lists this ribosomal RNA (405 nucleotides) under uncultured Gymnodinium. RNAcentral describes it as "partial small subunit ribosomal RNA". It matches the Rfam family "Eukaryotic small subunit ribosomal RNA", at positions 30 to 432 of the family's 1831-position model. Lineage: Eukaryota; Dinophyceae; Gymnodiniales. The record is from RNAcentral.